GCUGGGCGUGGUGGUGCAUGCCUGUAAUCUCAGAGACUCUGGAGGCAGAGGCAGGAGGAUUAUUGCGAGUUCAAAGCCAGCCUCAGCAAUUUAGUGUGACGCUAAGCAACUCAGUGAGACCCUGUCUCUA
This 130-nucleotide small RNA is filed under the name Marmota monax (woodchuck). The record is from RNAcentral. Lineage: Eukaryota; Metazoa; Chordata; Mammalia; Rodentia; Sciuridae.